This 449-nucleotide ribosomal RNA is filed under the name uncultured bacterium. Its description in RNAcentral is "bacterial SSU rRNA". It matches the Rfam family "Bacterial small subunit ribosomal RNA", at positions 335 to 799 of the family's 1533-position model. The record is from RNAcentral.
ACUCCUACGGGAGGCAGCAGUGGGGAAUCUUGGACAAUGGGGGCGAACCCUGAUCCAGCCAUGCCGCGUGAGUGAAGAAGGCCUUAGGGUCGUAAAGCUCUUUCGCCUGUGAAGAUAAUGACGGUAGCAGGUAAAGAAACCCCGGCUAACUCCGUGCCAGCAGCCGCGGUAAUACGGAGGGGGUUAGCGUUGUUCGGAAUUACUGGGCGUAAAGCGCGCGUAGGCGGACCAGAAAGUUGGGGGUGAAAUCCCGGGGCUCAACCCCGGAACUGCCUCCAAAACUCCUGGUCUUGAGUUCGAGAGAGGUGAGUGGAAUUCCGAGUGUAGAGGUGAAAUUCGUAGAUAUUCGGAGGAACACCAGUGGCGAAGGCGGCUCACUGGCUCGAUACUGACGCUGAGGUGCGAAAGUGUGGGGAGCAAACAGGAUUAGAUACCCUGGUAGGACAGUG